Molecule: non-coding RNA, 763 nt
Organism: Cucurbita pepo subsp. pepo (vegetable marrow)
Lineage: Eukaryota; Viridiplantae; Streptophyta; Magnoliopsida; Cucurbitales; Cucurbitaceae
Source: RefSeq, a predicted model, not a curated record
AUCCGGAUGAGAUAUUCAGGGCGUUCUUUGCCCAGGGAAAUGUGUUUCAGACGAGUCGUGCUUAUACUUAUAGAAUAGGAAGUGUGGGAGGCCAUCUGAGGGCAGAAUCUGAUGGGCGAGGUCCCAACUUGUUGAUUUUCUAAGAUCCCCGGACGCUGGCCCCGAAGAGGGUAGACUGUGCAUCAGUUGGAGAGGGGAACAACGCAUUCUUUAUAACGUGUGAAAACCUCUCCCUAACAGACGCGUUUUAAAAACUUUUGACAGUGAGCCCAAAUGGAAAAGUCUAAAGUGUGAGAUCUUCGAUUGGAGAGGGGAAUGAAAUACUCUUUAUAAGGAUGAAGGACGUAGAAAUUCAAUGUCCCCGUGGAACAAAAAUCUUCCAAACUCCUCAUUGUGAGAAGAUGAAUAAUCUUGGGUCAGCAUAAAGGAGAAAAUGAAGAGUAAUGGAAGAGGUGGUUCAUAGACGUGUCUGUAUUUCAAGUAUGAGAGUGUCAUUCCCACAAGCAUGGCCCUCAGAAUUAUUUUUGGCACGGUUUCCAAUAACAGAUAUGUAUAAUUCAAAGUUAUCAUUACGUCAUAGUUCAAUUGACUCUAUAUGUGCUUCACUAACGACUUAAAUAUUCCAAUUCUCUUAUUUUAUGGGUCAUUAACCUCGAUCUAAAUUUUUUAUCGAGGUCAAUUACUGUAAUUCUCUUAUUUCACGAGUUCGUUGAACUCAAAAGAUAUAUACUCGAUCAAGAGAUCAAAUAUUCUAAUUCUUUUA